GACGAACGCUGGCGGCGUGCCUAAUACAUGCAAGUUGAGCGCUGAAGGUUGGUACUUGUACCAACUGGAUGAGCAGCGAACGGGUGAGUAACGCGUGGGGAAUCUGCCUUUGAGCGGGGGACAACAUUUGGAAACGAAUGCUAAUACCGCAUAAAAACUUUAAACACAAGUUUUAAGUUUGAAAGAUGCAAUUGCAUCACUCAAAGAUGAUCCCGCGUUGUAUUAGCUAGUUGGUGAGGUAAAGGCUCACCAAGGCGAUGAUACAUAGCCGACCUGAGAGGGUGAUCGGCCACAUUUGGACUGGGACACGGCCCAAACUUCUACGGGAGGCAGCAGUAGGGAAUCAUCGGCCAUGGACGGAAGUCUGACCGAGCAACGCCGCGGUAGGGAAGAAGGGUUUCGGAUCGUAAAACUCUGUUGGUAGAGAAGAACGUUGGUGAGAGUGGAAAGCUCAUCAAGUGACGGUAACUACCCAGAAAGGGACGGCUAACUACGUG
RNAcentral lists this ribosomal RNA (497 nucleotides) under uncultured bacterium. RNAcentral describes it as "partial 16S ribosomal RNA". It matches the Rfam family "Bacterial small subunit ribosomal RNA", at positions 28 to 507 of the family's 1533-position model. The record is from RNAcentral.